CACCGCGGUUAUACGAGAGACCCAAGUUGUUAGACACCGGCGUAAAGAGUGGUUAGGUACUAUUACUUACUAAAGCCGAACACCUUCAAAGCUGUUAUACGCACCUGAAGAUAGGAAGUUCAACCACGAAAGUGGCUUUAUACUUACUGAACCCACGAAAGCUAAGACA
RNAcentral lists this ribosomal RNA (169 nucleotides) under Zebrasoma scopas (twotone tang). RNAcentral describes it as "partial 12S ribosomal RNA". RNAcentral also lists the same sequence under 1 other name. Lineage: Eukaryota; Metazoa; Chordata; Actinopteri; Acanthuriformes; Acanthuridae. The record is from RNAcentral.